CCUCUUAGCGUCUGGUGAUAACAAUUCCCCAGUGCCUCUGCCCCUCUGUCAUCGGCUGCACUUGUGACAGGGGAUCCCUCCUUCUACUUCUAACACCUCGGCCUGACCAUCUGCACUGCAGAAAGCCAUUUGUCUGACUGCUUUUGAUUCAAACCCCAUAAGCACUACCCACAGUAGCCUAUAGAGCAACGAGUCGAUGUCUGAGCUCUCCAGCGCUUGGACCAAAAAUGUCAUAAGUAUUUCUCUGAUUCAACUUGAAAUGGAAAACAGCUUCCUUUGAUCUGAAACUCCAUUCUUCUGCAAAUACACACUUUUUAAAAGAAAAAACAGGCCUACAGAGAAGUAGCUAAUGUGUUUUUACAGCUGUACCUCUUAAAGGACCCAUUCUCAGCCCAAGUACGAUGCAGCACUCAAUGAAGUUAACACAAAGCCACCAAAUUAAAUGGCUCUUGGACAAGCUAUGAAACUCCCUGCAGAUAGCAUAUAACAGGAUAUCAGAAAUAAAAUGUAGCCAAUUGUAAAUCAUGGCAAAUCAUAAAAUCAA
Long non-coding RNA from Pezoporus occidentalis (night parrot), 544 nucleotides. RefSeq lists it as uncharacterized. The transcript is spliced from 3 exons. The record is from RefSeq and is a predicted model, not a curated record. Lineage: Eukaryota; Metazoa; Chordata; Aves; Psittaciformes; Psittacidae.